UCGAACGCAUUUUCUUCCACCGUAGCUUGCUACACCGGAAGAAAAUGAGUGGCGAACGGGUGAGUAACACGUGGGUAACCUGCCCAUCAGCGGGGGAUAACACUUGGAAACAGGUGCUAAUACCGCAUAAUUCCAUUUACCGCAUGGUAGAUGGAUGAAAGGCGCUUUUGCGUCACUGAUGGAUGGACCCGCGGUGCAUUAGCUAGUUGGUGGGGUAACGGCCUACCAAGGCUGCGAUGCAUAGCCGACCUGAGAGGGUGAUCGGCCACACUGGGACUGAGACACGGCCCAGACUCCUACGGGAGGCAGCAGUAGGGAAUCUUCGGCAAUGGACGCAAGUCUGACCGAGCAACGCCGCGUGAGUGAAGAAGGUUUUCGGAUCGUAAAACUCUGUUGUUAGAGAAGAACAAGGAUGAGAGUGGAAAGUUCAUCCCUUGACGGUAUCUAACCAGAAAGCCACGGCUAACUACGUGCCAGCAGCCGCGGUAAUACGUAGGUGGCAAGCGUUGUCCGGAUUUAUUGGGCGUAAAGCGAGCGCAGGCGGUCUUUUAAGUCUGAUGUGAAAGCCCCCGGCUUAACCGGGGAGGGUCAUUGGAAACUGGGAGACUUGAGUGCAGAAGAGGAAAGCGGAAUUCCAUGUGUAGCGGUGAAAUGCGUAGAUAUAUGGAGGAACACCAGUGGCGAAGGCGGCUUUCUGGUCUGUAACUGACGCUGAGGCUCGAAAGCGUGGGGAGCAAA
This 738-nucleotide ribosomal RNA is filed under the name uncultured bacterium. Its description in RNAcentral is "bacterial SSU rRNA". It matches the Rfam family "Bacterial small subunit ribosomal RNA", at positions 62 to 772 of the family's 1533-position model. The record is from RNAcentral.